RNAcentral lists this transfer RNA (70 nucleotides) under Cavia porcellus (domestic guinea pig). It matches the Rfam family "tRNA". Rfam says of the family: Transfer RNA (tRNA) molecules are approximately 80 nucleotides in length. Their secondary structure includes four short double-helical elements and three loops (D, anti-codon, and T loops). The record is from Rfam by way of RNAcentral. Lineage: Eukaryota; Metazoa; Chordata; Mammalia; Rodentia; Caviidae.
GGAGCUAAAGCUCAGCGGCAUAAGCGCCUGCCUUAUAAGCAGGUGGUCGUGAGUUCGAUCCCUGGUACCG